This 29-nucleotide non-coding RNA is filed under the name Homo sapiens (human). Lineage: Eukaryota; Metazoa; Chordata; Mammalia; Primates; Hominidae. The record is from RNAcentral.
UCUCUGGACUGCAACGGUCUUCUUGUGCU